Molecule: ribosomal RNA, 497 nt
Filed under: uncultured bacterium
Lineage: Bacteria
Description: partial 16S ribosomal RNA
Rfam family: Bacterial small subunit ribosomal RNA
Source: RNAcentral
GAUGAACGCUGGCGGCGUGCCUAAUACAUGCAAGUCGAGCGAACAGACGAGGAGCUUGCUCCUCUGACGUUAGCGGCGGACGUGUGAGUAACACGUGGAUAACCUACCUAUAAGACUGGGAUAACUUCGGGAAACCGGAGCUAAUACCGGAUAAUAUAUUGAACCGCAUGGUUCAAUAGUGAAAUACGGUUUUGCUUUCACUUAUAGAUGGAUCCGCGCCGCAUUAGCUAGUUGGUAAGGUAACGGCUUACCAAGGCAACGAUGCGUAGCCGACCUGAGAGGGGGAUCGGCCACACUGGAAGUGAGACACGGACCAGACUCCUACGGGAGGCAGCAGUAGGGAAUCGUCCGCAAUGGGCGAAAGCAUGACGGAGCAACGCCGCGUGAGAGAUGAAGGUCUACGGAUCGUAAAACUCUGUUAUUAGGGAAGAACAAAUGUGUAAGUAACUAUGCACGUCUUGACGGUACCUAAUCAGAAAGCCACGGCUAACUACGUG